Nymphaea colorata (pocket water lily) is the source of this 325-nucleotide long non-coding RNA. RefSeq lists it as uncharacterized. Lineage: Eukaryota; Viridiplantae; Streptophyta; Magnoliopsida; Nymphaeales; Nymphaeaceae. The transcript is spliced from 2 exons. The record is from RefSeq and is a predicted model, not a curated record.
AGGACAUCCAGUCAUCAACUCAAAAAGUACCACACCGAAGCUAUACACGUCACUUUUCUUGGUGACCAAGUUCGUACUGUAGUAUCUGCAAUCACAAGAGACAGAAGCAAAAUUAUUACUCAAAAUUCUGGAGAAAUGGACAAUACGAGCAAAAGCCUAUGACGUGAGUAACUUCCAGGCACAACUAAGGCCUGCUGUGCUAGUCCUGUUGGACCUGACCAUUCUCCUAGAUGGGAUUAUGAUAUGGCACCUUUAAUUUGUUUACCCACCUUUCUCGUUUCCUAUCUGACAAGGCUAAUGGAAGCAGGAAAAAUUUGUCACUUAA